This 942-nucleotide unclassified non-coding RNA is filed under the name Bombus terrestris (buff-tailed bumblebee). RNAcentral describes it as "misc RNA ENSBTSG00005025404.1". The record is from RNAcentral. Lineage: Eukaryota; Metazoa; Arthropoda; Insecta; Hymenoptera; Apidae.
GGCCAGUAGGAAGAAGACAUCGAGCGUGCUGCCACGAUGUGGCUAUCGCGUGUGCAAGUGUGUACGUGCGUGUAACGUAGUGGUCUAUCAAUUUCGCGGGCCCGGACGUUUACGAGUAGGUCGUAAAAGCGGCGUAAUAGGCGCACACGGUCGUAUAUGCCGUCGCCGGGUGGCCAGGAAAUUCGAUCGAGCGCGAAGGGUUUUACGUAAGUCACGAGGUCCUUCAAUCGUCCUCUGCGUGUCGCAGCGUUCUUUGCAGAACGUUACAGUACGGUAGACAUAACCUCGAAACACAUCCUUCGAAACUGACAUUCGCUCUAAUAGCGAGAUGUCGCGAAUGUACGAAACAUCGAGAAGUAAGUUGUUCGUCUUACUUUACGUUCUCGUCUACCAGUUAUUGCACGCUGGAUACGGCCGGAUUCGCAGCAGGGAGGUUAUGAGGGAUUUGAGUACAAGAAUUUUGAAAUAAGAAUUUGAUCUGGCGUAAUUGAAACAAACAAUAUCUGUGCAGCCGCUUAGGCAAAUAAAGAAAAGAACAGAGGCAUAAUUUCCCCACAUUUCCUCAGCUCUGCUGCUUUAUAUUCAUUAUCCGUGCUCUCCACCAACGCAACGAUAUCGAAAUCCUCGUUACAGCCUCUGCAGCGUCAAAUUGAAACGCUCGACGAAAGUAAAAGUGAAAUAAGAGCAAAAGUAAAUUGAAAAAGCUCCCUCCACUUUCCAUGGGGUGUAAAUUCAAUACGCGGAUAUAUUUAUGAGCGAAACUCAACGAUCUUGAAGUAAAACAUAAAAAUAAUGUUUUGGUCAUAUUGAUACGACAAAUUGAGACACAAACGUAACCUAAUCUAAAUACGUAUUUCCUUUUCCUAUUUAUCUUUGUUAUGUAAUCAAAUACAUUAUUUAUGACUUAUUAUUGUGUAACUAUAUAUUCCUUCGACUAUGUCU